Long non-coding RNA from Thunnus maccoyii (southern bluefin tuna), 1106 nucleotides. RefSeq lists it as uncharacterized. The transcript has 2 exons. The record is from RefSeq and is a predicted model, not a curated record. NCBI's taxonomy places the organism in Eukaryota, Metazoa, Chordata, Actinopteri, Scombriformes, Scombridae.
GACCAGCACACCUCCAACAGGUAAACAACUUAUUUUACUUUGCUGUGCUGUGUAAUAGAAAAACAUUCACAGUGUGCCAGCUCAUCUCAAGUCAUGGCUUGGCAUGACUACUCCAAAAACAACGGAAAAAUGCCGUUAUGUUAGCGAAGCAGAGCAGUGAACUUGUGCAGAUAUAAAGACUGUCACAAGCUGAUGUCGGCUCGGGCUGAAAGUAGAAAAAAACAUUGGAAAUUGAGCCUUCAGAGCAGUCUGAAGCCAGUGAUUUUUAACCCUUUGAAAAUGGACGUCCUGCAGGCGGGUCUAAACUGGCUGUGGGGGGGGUCGUCGUUUACAUAGUCCAAUUCAAAUAGAUCUAAAAUAAAAAUCAUAACAGCUAGAGCUUUCACUCUUUUUGCAGCUGAAAGCUAAGGCUCUCAUCUUUCACGCAAUCACGUACGCUUGUGUCGAAAGAUGAUGACGCCAUUAUGUUACGUUAUGUGUGGGUAAUAAAACUGGGUAAAAUGUAGUGGCAACGUGGAGUGGAGCAGAGCGGAGAAGCAGGUCGAAGUCAGAGAUAUUCAGUGAAAGUUGAGAGAUUCAGAUAUUGAGAGAGUAAGUGUAUUCUUGGAGCAUAUACGUGUCUUUUUUGUCGUGAUGACAAAGAAAAGAUAGUAAGCCGAGGAGGCUUUGGAGGUUUUGUUCUCGAGUGGUGACCACAAACAAGAGACGCUUUCUUCUGAUCCAGACUCCUUCAGUGAGGAUGAAGACCAUUUUGGCAUUGAUCCAUAUCAGGAUAUCCCCACUGGAAAUGAAGGAGCAACAGAGGACCACUCAGACACAGCAUCCCAACACACAUUUUGUAUUUUGUUUAAUUUAUGACACAAUUUCAGUACUUAUAUCUAUCAUUAUGGUUUAUUGGCUUACAUAACCUUUUGGCUUAGGUUGAAACUAUCAAAAUGCCUUUGCACUCUGCUCAUAAAAAUGAGCUUAUCUCAGAAACUAAAAACCGUACAUAGUUCAGAUAACUUGUGGAAUGUUAAGAAAUAUUUUGUUCAUGUUUCUACAUCCAGAAAUGUUUUGGAUCAAUGUGUUUUGUUCGUUUAUCCAGUAAAAUUUGAUGAAAAACA